AUUUGUACUUUGUUUUUAAGGUGGAAAAGAAUCAGAGGCUCAAGUAAGGCAAAAACAGCAAAUGAUGUUCGCACAAUCUAAAUACCGACAAAAGCACAAGAGAGAAGAAUAUAUGAAAGCAAGAAAAGCAGCUGAAGAAGCCGAAACCCUGAAAAAGAAAGCAAUUCAGAGAGAAAAGGCAGAGCGACUUGAAGUUAAAAAAAGGCAACAAGAAAUGCAAAGAAGAGAGAUGUUCCUUGAAGAUCAAUUUCAGUAAGUAAAAUUUGAAAGUUCCUCCUUA
Meleagris gallopavo (turkey) is the source of this 280-nucleotide non-coding RNA. The record is from RefSeq and is a predicted model, not a curated record. Lineage: Eukaryota; Metazoa; Chordata; Aves; Galliformes; Phasianidae.